UGCACACCGGGUUCUAAAGACCAGAAACCUGCCUGAAGGUUGCCUGACGUGUGAUAGGGUUCGCGCUCAGGCGGCCCAGUAACCUUACAGGGUUUGUAGGGCGCCGCAAGGAAUGCGUGUUGGAUACGCCUGCUCCCUGAUCAGAGCCCGGAAAUUACAGGGUUGAUGACAUGGGAAACCACUUCUCACUGGAGAUGAAAUAUCUGGAAUGUGACCUGAUGGUUGGACCUGCUGCAGCCAACCUGGGUUCAUGAGGGAAAUUUGAGGGAAUUCAGAGGCUCUGGACUUAACUAAACCAGAACCAAGAACCACAUGCCUCCGGACUUCCACUUAGGAAACCUCACAGUUAUCUGCGAAUAAUACCUUCGUCCAUCUCCAUGUCGCAAGCAGUGGUCUCUUCUCUAGGCUCGUGCCCGAUGUGGCUAUCUAUCUUCCCAUCUAUAUUUGGAUUCUCCUAAGACUAGAACUACAUAGUCUUCAUGAUAGAGUCUCAGCAAUUCUCUCCUGAUGCUAAUGCAGAGUUUGGAGACUGGACUACCUUUCUAGACCAUCUGGCAAAUGACCAAAUGACUUCUUGGAUCAAGCCUUCCCUUCCUUUUCCAUCUUUCACUGAUUUUUCCCAGUGUGUAAAGUUGAAUUUGGGGUGCCACCAUUCAUCUGAUUCUUUGGUAUGAGGGCUCCUGGGCCUGAGGGCCAUUUCAGGGUCACUGAGGCAAACAACUUGGGUCAAGGGUCCUCCUUUCUCAGCCCAUCACCUCACCUGGCCAGUGGGGAGUUGUGCCAGCCCAGAUUCAGAACUUUUCUGUUAAAAUGUGGAAUUCAGAGGGCUGGCCCCGUGCCUGAGCGGUUCAAUUCGAGCACUCUGCUGCAGGCGGCCCAGUGUUUCGCCGGUUCGAAUCCUGUGCACGGACAUGGCACUGCUCAUCAAACCACGCUGAGGCGGCGUCCCACAUGCCACAACUAGAAGGACCCACAACGAAGAAUAUACAACUAUGUACCGGGAGGCUUUGGGGAAAAAAAGGAAAAAAAUAAAUAAAUAAAAUUUUAAAAAGGUG
This 1055-nucleotide long non-coding RNA is filed under the name Equus caballus (horse). Its description in RNAcentral is "lncRNA (ENSECAG00000032457.3)". The record is from RNAcentral. Lineage: Eukaryota; Metazoa; Chordata; Mammalia; Perissodactyla; Equidae.